UGCCCCAUGGCUGAGUUGGUUACAGCGUCCGACUGUUAUGUCUAGUCGCUAGUCAUACGAUUAUCGGAAGGUCGUGAGUUCGAGCCUCACUGGGGCAG
This is a non-coding RNA of Phlebopus sp. FC_14, 98 nucleotides long. Lineage: Eukaryota; Fungi; Basidiomycota; Agaricomycetes; Boletales; Boletinellaceae. The record is from the annotation of a GenBank genome assembly.